CCUACGGGUGGCAGCAGUGAGGAAUAUUGGUCAAUGGCCGGAAGGCUGAACCAGCCAAGCCGCGUGAAGGACGAAGGUGCCAAGCAUUGUAAACUUCUUUUGUCAAGGGACAAAAUCAGGCUCGAGAGCCUGACCGAGGGUACUUGAAGAAAAAGCAUCGGCUAACUCCGUGCCAGCAGCCGCGGUAAUACGGAGGAUGCGAGCGUUAUCCGGAAUGACUGGGCGUAAAGGGUGCGUAGGUGGUUUGACAAGUUGGUAGCGUAACUCCGGGGCUCAACCUCGGCACUACUACCAAAACUGUCGGACUUGAGUGCAGGAGGGGCAAAUGGAAUUCCUAGUGUAGCGGUGGAAUGCGUAGAUAUUAGGAGGAACACCAGUGGCGAAGGCGAUUUGCUGGACUGUAACUGACACUGAGGCACGAAAGCGUGGGGAGCAAACAGGAUUAGAUACCCGUGUAGUC
RNAcentral lists this ribosomal RNA (460 nucleotides) under uncultured bacterium. Its description in RNAcentral is "partial 16S ribosomal RNA". It matches the Rfam family "Bacterial small subunit ribosomal RNA", at positions 338 to 795 of the family's 1533-position model. The record is from RNAcentral.